AGCAGACCCAAAUUUGCCCCAAGCCUUCCCUAGGCGCCGGGGGCCAGGGGCGGGCCCUGCCGCCCGAGGGGAAGGGUCUUAGCGACUGCAGCUGAGCGAAUUUCCGACCCACCCAGCGCUCACUGGUGACCACUAUCUCCGGCUACCGCGCCCCCUCCUCUCCAGCCCCUCACUGCCUGAGGCUCACAGCCCGCGGCUUUCCAUCACUUUACAACACGUUUCUCUCCCAGGUUGGUCCUUCCCACCAGCGCAGCGACUUUGGAGCGUGCUUCUCUUCUGACAAACGCAAGGGCCCAACGCAUUUGUCACUUUGCCUUCUCACUUUGCCAACAAAUGAUGCUUCGGUGGAGGCUGCCUGCCCGAGAGGGGCCUAAGGAUGGCGCCUACCUCCACCUUGUCCCCACCCCGCGACGGAAUGGCUGGUGCUGUGUCAUCCACGUCUCCCUUCAAGGCGUCAGGGAAGCCACAUGCAAUAUCUCUUUCUUUCAGAGGGCUCCUGUUUCAACUCUGAAAAAGCACGGG
Molecule: long non-coding RNA, 522 nt
Filed under: Cricetulus griseus (Chinese hamster)
Lineage: Eukaryota; Metazoa; Chordata; Mammalia; Rodentia; Cricetidae
Description: lncRNA (ENSCGRG00015037326.1)
Source: RNAcentral